RNAcentral lists this small RNA (265 nucleotides) under Arabidopsis thaliana (thale cress). RNAcentral's name for it is "ATSL260020". Lineage: Eukaryota; Viridiplantae; Streptophyta; Magnoliopsida; Brassicales; Brassicaceae. The record is from RNAcentral.
GGGUAAAAUGUAAAAGAUUUUAUACCAUUUUCGAGUUUCGACAGAAAUUACAGAUAAUACAAGUAGCAGAGAAAAAAGUAAAAUCUAUAGAAAAACAGACAAUAACAAAAUACAGCAAAUGAAAAAAGUAUAAGUCUUGAGAAAAAACAAAAGAAAAAACACGAUUCCGAGUUGCCAAAACUCAGAAAUUUGCGUGAUUUCCAUAACUCCAAAAAGUUUGAGUCUCAUCUUAGUUGACACGAGUUAACCCUAAUCAUAUGUUUUU